CUGGAAUUCCUGGUGUAGCGGUGAAAUGCGCAGAUAUCAGGAGGAACACCGAUGGCGAAGGCAGGUCUCUGGGCAUUAACUGACGCUGAGGAGCGAAAGCAUGGGGAGCGAACAGGAUUAGAUACCCUGGUAGUCCAUGCCGUAAACGUUGGGCACUAGGUGUGGGGGACAUUCCACGUUUUCCGCGCCGUAGCUAACGCAUUAAGUGCCCCGCCUGGGGAGUACGGCCGCAAGGCUAAAACUCAAAGGAAUUGACGGGGGCCCGCACAAGCGGCGGAGCAUGCGGAUUAAUUCGAUGCAACGCGAAGAACCUUACCAAGGCUUGACAUGGACUGGAUCGCCGCAGAAAUGUGGUUUCCCCUUUGGGGCCGGUUCACAGGUGGUGCAUGGUUGUCGUCAGCUCGUGUCGUGAGAUGUUGGGUUAAGUCCCGCAACGAGCGCAACCCUCGUUCUAUGUUGCCAGCGCGUUAUGGCGGGGACUCAUAGGAGACUGCCGGGGUCAACUCGGAGGAAGGUGGGGACGACGUCAAAUCAUCAUGCCCCUUAUGUCUUGGGCUUCACGCAUGCUACAAUGGCCGGUACAAAGGGUUGCGAUACUGUGAGGUGGAGCUAAUCCCAAAAAGCCGGUCUCAGUUCGGAUUGGGGUCUGCAACUCGACCCCAUGAAGUCGGAGUCGCUAGUAAUCGCAGAUCAGCAACGCUGCGGUGAAUACGUUCCCGGGCCUUGUACACACCGCCCGUCAAGUCACGAAAGUUGGUAACACCCGAAGCCGGUGGCCUAACCCCUUGUGGGAGGGAGCU
This 800-nucleotide ribosomal RNA is filed under the name Arthrobacter pascens. RNAcentral describes it as "bacterial SSU rRNA". It matches the Rfam family "Bacterial small subunit ribosomal RNA", at positions 661 to 1454 of the family's 1533-position model. Lineage: Bacteria; Bacillati; Actinomycetota; Actinomycetes; Micrococcales; Micrococcaceae. The record is from RNAcentral.